CUUUGACCUGUCUGGAGAUUUCUCAAGGAGUGCAGGCAUGAAUGAGGGCUUUUUCUGCUAUGUAUUUCCUGCCAUGAGAAGAACCUCAGCAGGUGACAACUUACUAUUGGGAGCUGGUGGCAAGGUGAAUGUAUGACUACUAGAGGUAGUCCUCUAGUGAGCAUGAUAACAACAUUUCUGGAUUUUUGUGUUUCUGAAUGUGGACCAUUUCUGCCUGAAGAGAUGAACAGCUUCC
This 235-nucleotide long non-coding RNA is filed under the name Anser brachyrhynchus (Pink-footed goose). Its description in RNAcentral is "lncRNA (ENSABRG00000012726.1)". Lineage: Eukaryota; Metazoa; Chordata; Aves; Anseriformes; Anatidae. The record is from RNAcentral.